Long non-coding RNA from Musa acuminata AAA Group (dessert banana), 9249 nucleotides. RefSeq lists it as uncharacterized. The record is from RefSeq and is a predicted model, not a curated record. The transcript is spliced from 5 exons. Lineage: Eukaryota; Viridiplantae; Streptophyta; Magnoliopsida; Zingiberales; Musaceae.
AAAGAGACUUAGAGCAUUGAUGUUUCAUUUACUGGAAUUUGAGAAUCAGGUUCAAGUAUCCUUUCUUUGUUGAAUAUUUUGGUUACUCCUUUACUAGAAAGUAUCUAUGGUGGUUUCUCAAAUUUUAUCAUUGAAAAGUCUACUGCUCUAAUUAAUUCUCUUUCUUGUCUAACUUCUGGCCUGCCUCUUAACAUUCUGUAAUCUUUUUAUCAAAUUAGUUAUAAUUACUAACAAAGAAUUGUGACUUCUAUUAGUCUUUCUGUUAUGUAAGAAAGAAAAAAAGAGAUCUUAUCAAAUUCUGGAUUGCAUUCUAGAUAUUGCUCUUCUAUUACAGAUCAUUCAUCAAUAAUAUUUUUAGACAUGUUUUGAUUCCUUUAGACUUUGUUUUUUCUCCUUUUAUUAUAUUAUUCAUCAAUAAUAACAUUCCAUAAUCUUUCGAACAAAUUAGUUGUCAUUACUCAUUACUAACAAAGAAUUGUGACUUCUAUUAGUCUCUCUGUUCCGUAAGAAAGCAAAAAAAAGACCUAUCAAAUUCUGGAAUUGCAUUUUAGAUACUGCUCUUUAUUAUAUAUCAUUCAUUGAUAAUAUUUUUAGACACAUUUUGAUUCCUUUAGACUUUGUUUUUUCUCCUUUAUUUGUGUGUUUUCCACUUUGCACUAUUCUGACUAUAUAUUCUGUAGCUGAUAUUUAACUAAUCGUUUUAUCAUUUUAAAACUAACAAUUUAUCAUAUUAAUAAUAUAGGUUUUCCUACCUUGUUGGAUUUGCAUGUAAAGGUACUGAACAUAAUACCUUCGCUGUUGAUGAGUCACUUAAAGACUUCGCACAAUUAGUUGUUGGACUUUCAGUUGUUGGCUCCACUUUUCAAAAUUGUUUUUUUUCCCACAUUUGAACAUGAGGCAACAAAUAGUUUCCUCAUUGCUCUAAGUAUGCAUUUCUAGUUGUCUAGAAUUUAGGAGUAUAUUAUUGCUUUGGUUGUCAUGAACAAGGUUCGCAAUAUCGUACCGUACCGGUGUUUCGACCUGGGCUCGGUACGGUAUGGUACGGUGUACCGAGCGAUACCGCCAGGUGCACCGAGCGGUACACCUGAUUUUAGUCCGUUAAACCCUCCGAAAAUACCUGAAAAAAAAAAAAAAAGUUAGGAUAGGGUUUUCAAGUUAUAAAUAAAUAGAGUAAUAGUAUAAGUUUAGCAAAAUCAAUGUAAAUUAGGUAAGAAUAAUAUCACAUAUCUUUUUCGGGCUUUGAGGUAGUUUUGUUCGAGGUUCGUAUUUCAGUCCGUUAUAGAUUGAAAUAUCUACAGAAAAAUCAUUUGAAUUGUUAGACUAUUUUAUUACAAUAUAAACUCUAAAAUUUAAAUUAAUUAAAUAAUUACAUAUGUAGAUAUACCUGAUUGUUGAUUUUACCACCAAAACGAAUGACGGGCCUCCACCUAAUUUAACAUUGGCUCUGAAUCUUCGUUGUAGAAUUGGAGGUCAAUGGGAUCAAUAUGAUUCAAAUAUGUAAUUUUAAUCCAAUAUGAUUUAAAUUAUGAUAAAAUCAUUAUUUAUCUACACUAAUUAUACGAUUAACAUAGUUAAUUUUUCACUAAUUACUUCUCUUUCAACACUAUAAACAUGACAAAUACCCUAAUAGGUAUUAAAGACAUUUAAUUGAUAUAAAAUCGAAUAAAUUUCGAUUAAAUCAUCAUUAAAAUGAUUAAUCACAGCAUUAAAUAACUUUAAUAAAACUUAAUUAAACUUAUUUUACUAUCAUAAAUAUUAUUCAAUAUUUAAUAUGCAUGAAACAUACUAAUCAUAAUGUUAAAGAUCUUAAUUACUCUCUAAUUAAAGAAAGCGAAUACAUACCUCUUGAUUAGAAAGCUCUUUCUCUUAAUCUUCCAAAAUUAGCCUCGAUUGAAUUCACAAAUCGUUGUUUUGUAGAGUUUAGGAGAGAGAAAAAAGUUUGAGAGAGAGUUUAAGAUAGUAUAAUGAAAUAGGGGAGAAGAAUAGCUUAAAUAGAAUGAGAAAGGGCUCCAAUGGUCAAAUUGACCGUUGGAGCACUGUAGCACUGCUACAGUGCGGUAACGAUCGAAAUCGACCGUUACCGAUUUGUGCCGGGCGGUAACGGUUGAAAUUUCGACCGUUACCGCUCGAUAUUAUAUCGUAUCGUUCGAUACGAGGUUUUUUUGAAUGUACCGCCCGAUAGCGGGCGGUCUGCGUACCGGUAUGUACUGUUCGUACCGGGCGGUACAAUUCGGUAUUGCAGACCUUGGUCAUGAAUAUAGAAAUUCAGAAAAUAAAUAUAUCUGAGAUAUUUUUUUUCUGCUGUUAUGUAGUCCAUUCUCUAAUCUUAUAUAGGAAAUAUUUUAUUGAUGUCAGUUAUCUAGUUUUACGUGACAUGCCAUAUUUAGUAAUUUGUGCAUCUCUGUGUAUUUGCCUCGUUCAAGAUUCAGAUUGUUCAUUGUACCAACAACAACAAGAAGUGAAGAUAUCAUGGGUAGCUACUAUCAUUUUCUAAAAUGCUGUAUGAUUGGUUAUAACCAUUGGGUGUCAUACAAUUUCAACAAUGGUGAUUUAGAUUUAUUUACUCUCAAGUGUUGGUGCUAUCAGUUUUUUUGGUUAUGUUAAUGGUGCUUUGAGCUAGGAACUAGGUCAGAAAUUUUUUUUAAAAAAAUUGAAGAGAAUCUCAAGAAGUAAGAAAUCAUGAAGACAAAUGUCCAUCUUUAAAUAUUUUUGUGAUUUUAAAUGGAAUAUUAAAUGCAAAGCUACCUUUCUUGUGAUCUUAGAGUUCUCUCUUGGUGAUUGUUAUUUGUCAUAGCUUGAUAAGGAUUAGUAACCAGAUGACACUCACUUAAUAUGGGUUGUUUCUCUUUUAUUUUCAAAAUUUGCUAUCAAGUAGAUGUUAAUACAGACGAAUUCCAACGAUUUAUGACCUCUCCUCGACCUUUAGGUGUUAAUGUUGGUGUGUUUGUCUUGAUGAAAUUUGGGACUCAAUUGCUGAUGGUUUCAGUUUGGUCAUUUCUCAGAUGAUGGCGAUUGCAAUAUGUGGAUAUGGAAUUAUGGGAUAGUGUCACUUGGUAGAAUGUCUUUUCUUUGAUUAUUAGCUCUUAUGUUGUCUAGAUUCAACUUCCAAUAGCAUUUUGUAGUGCUUGUGAUCAAGGUUUUAGUUAUGCUCACUGAUCCGAAGUUUUUGUUUAUGUUCACUUAUCCAAAUUGAGAGAAUUACAUGGGCUCUUGAAAUGUUGCUGAAGUCAAGUCUGCAAUUUUGUGCCCUUAACAUUGGAACUAUAAAUUUUUAUGAUGUGUUGUUAGCAAGAAGUUCUUAUGCAUUUAUGAUGCAAUCAUUACUAUAGUUAAUAAGGUUUUAUAAUGUGGCAUUUUAUAUUGUUUGCUAUGCUUUAGCUAAAUUGACUUUACUCAACUCGAUACUCAAAGAACAUCCUUGUGUAAUUUUUAUGGUCCUUUUUGCUUAUCAUGUUAUUACUUCUAAAAUAAUUAAUUUGUAAUUCUAUGAUGGUAAAUGUACAAUGUGAAAUAUUAAGUGUAAAUAAAAUCUCACUCAAAUUGAAAUGACUAGCAAAGCAAAUUAUAAAGGUAUCAUACAAAGCUAGUUGUUAAUUGGAACAUAUUUGUGCAGCAUUCAACUGAUAUCUCAAUAAAAGAUGCUUCUUAAUCAGGUUAAAACACAUGUACUUAUCUAUACAUUUUGAAGGUACACUCAAUCAGUUACGUUUUGAUAUGGUAAUUUGAAACUUUUAUUUUUAGUCUCCAUAGGUUAGGCUUUGUAGAAUCACUAGAUUUGGGUAUAAAAGUAGAUGCAUAACUGAAUCAUGACACCUUUGGCUCAUAUCAUAUUCUUUUUUAUCACUAAAUAGGAAGCUAGCUACUUAGUUUUGAUGAACAUCUUCUAUUGUUUAUAAAGCAAAUUGUCAUGCCCUGUAAUUCUUUAUGUUGUUUUUCUUCUUUUAUUUUUUCAUGUAAUAUGGUAUCAAAACUUAAUCGUUGACCCGUAUGCUUGUCCCUCUUGGAUUUGUAUGCUAUGUUUGUAUGUAGUUGUUUUUGCUUUUCAUGUACUUUCCAACUUCCAUGAAUGAAUUGAAUAUUGGUACCAAUUCUAACGCAAUAUGAUGUGAUAUAACACAAAAAUACAAAAAUUGUUAGUUGAAAUCUUUAGGAAUGUACAAUAUAUUAAUUAAUGCUAGCAAAUGAUCGGAUUGAUGUUGUCAAAUUGACUCUGUUAGAACGUCAAUCCUUGUUGUCAAUAUAUCAUACCAACUCAGGCAGAACAUCAAUAACAUCAAUCCUUAUUAUCAAUAUACCUUGGUUACUUUAAUUAUGGCUAUCUAAAAUCGAAACAUGAAAAAAUUUUUAAGGAAAAUAAUUUGGAGUACAUAAAUUAUUUUUUAUGACUUUUAAACAUAAUACAGUUGUUUGUGGUAAAAUUCCAAAUUAUUUUGUUCUGUUUAAUGAAAUUUGCCACCAAAUUGGGAGUAUAACUAAAUUUCCUUUGUCAUGAGAAAAAAUAAUAGAUAAUUUUAGAAAGAAAUAUUGAUAACAAUUAAGAAGAAGUUGACAAAGACAUAUAACACAAACAAAACAUAUAAAAUAUUUAAAAUAAUUAGGAAAAUAUGAUUUAAUUGAAAGCAGUCUAAAAAAUGUUUAAAUAAGAUUUAACAUAAUAAAAACAUGAAAAAUUAAAAAUCUACUUAUGUUGAUAAAGAUGUUAGAGAAAUGUUUACAAAUUUAUGAAAAUUAAAAAUUUCACAAAAGUUGUCUUAGUCUAAGAAUAUAUUUUCCUCAAAUCUUAAAAAUCCAUAAUAGUUUAUCACAGAAUCAAAAUCUUCAAGGGCAUUCCUAUAGACUACAUCUAUUCGAUCCAAAACAUAGUUAUCUAAUAAGGGACAUGACGAGUGCCUACUGGGCCUCUACCUGAACUUCAUUAACUCAAACAAACAUAGUUCACUCGAUCAAGGAUCUCUGCCAAUUUCCUUGCCCUCAAACACCUAUUGCAUCAAUGAUAACAUAUUUUAUAAUUUAAAAGAUACAGUCAACAAAGAAAAAAUACUCUUAACAUGCCUCCUUAGUUUUGAUGUAAUGCAUUACUUAGCUUUUAAGGAAUGAACAUUUUGAUUUUUUAAAAAAUAGAUGUAAUUGAAAUAAAGUUUACAAAAGGUAGAAUAUGGUGAUUAGGAAUACUUGUUAAUUGGCUAAAAUAUGUUAAUUGUUGCCAUUUUGUGUGUCUUCAUUAAGAAUUAAUUAUAAAAAAUACAGUUAUCAUUUAACAAAUAUAAGGCAUUGUUAGAGAUUACAUUUUAGAGGAAGGGAGAUGCAUACUUGAAAAGGUCAUUUUAUAAAUAUAAAGCAGUAUUAGAGCUCAAAUUUUAGCGGAAGAGAAGCAUAGUUGAAAUUUGAAAAGAUCUACCAAGUUUUUUUUUUAGUCUAAAAUAUCACAUUCUAAAUAAAUACCUUGAUGAUGUCUAUAAUCUAUUGUUUGGACUCUGGAUUAUAGUAUCUCUUUCUCUUUCAUUCAAAUUUGUUAAUGAUAAAAAAUGACUAACAACUUGUUUGUAUACCAGGCGGAACAUGCUGGUAUACUAUCUUAUAUACCAGUACCAUACUACUCUGAUAUAUUAUUGAAACCGAUAUCGGGCUGAGAUUGAAAAUAUUAUUUUUUGGUGUGUAUUUUGUUUAUUUCAAUUUGUUUACAAGAGUAGUUCUAAUUCAUUUUUAUGGGCAUUAACUUUAUUUAUGGUAACAUGUGGAAUUUUACUGCAAGACAACUACGUAGUUUGUCAACAUGGCAACCAAUUUUAGUGACUAAGACUUUUAGUUAAAAGCAAGGGCUUUUCAAUUUUAGUUAUUUUGGGUUACAUGAAUGAACAAACAGAGUACUUUUUUUUCCCAAAAGUGGACAAAUUUAAACAUGCAAGAUGAUAUGCUAAACAUUGUUUGUAAAAAAUGAACUAACAAAAUGAAAGAAUGCAGGAAGAACUUGCAAGACUCUGAAUGUUUACAUCUUUGGGCAAUGUAUCAUUCAAACCAGAAGCUCAGCUUAAACACAUACUUUACCUUCAUUUGAAUUAGUGAAUUGGUCCCCCCUCUCUCUUUUUGUUAAGCCUUCUGAAUUUUUUAAUGAAAUAUUGCAAACUUGUUUGAAGAGUUCAAUUAUUCCAAGAAUUACUUCAAUGCAUUUCUGAUUUUAGUAAGAUGCGUCAUAAUUUCUGUAGAAAGCAGUUAUUUCAACCUAAGAGAAUUGUAAACCACAGUAUAUUUCAUAAUAGCAAAGAGAUACCAAACAAAUAAAUCUAUGAGCUUGAUAAAGGUGAGGCAUUGUAAUUCUGUUUAUUAUGUUUUUCCCUGUGAAAUGAAUAAAAAUAUCAAAUUUACAUGUCUUUCCAUGAAUAGACUAGGUCUUCUGCAACAUAGAUACACUUCUGAUCCUAAGAUAGGGCUAGAAAAAUGGUGCCAAAUGGGAUAUAAUGCAGGUUCUAAAUUUUGGAAGUUAGCUUACUAGAUCAAUAGUUCACAAAUGCUUCAUUAUGGUGAUAGUGGAGUAGUUCGGGUCCUUCCGAUUAACAGGAUCUUCAUUGAAUCUGAAGGUUCUGAUUUGUGAUUGUUUCAGUCUAUGGGAUUUAUCUUGCUGAAUCAGUUGUAGCUGUAGAAGAGUAGUAGCAAUGUUCAUGAGCUUGAUAGACAAGCUUGUUAUGUUUCAUAUAAAUGUUCACCAAUUAAUGACAUGGCUACUAUUUCAGUAUUUUUUCAAUUCUGCUGUUGUGGUCAUUUACCACAAGUUUCAGCAUCCAAGCACUAUAUCUGAAAUUUUCCUUUUGUAAGUAUAACACCGACCUUUGAGUUGGUAUUUCUUGUUUCCAACUUCCCUAUUUGUUUACUGAGAUUAAGGUAGCAACAGCGGUUGUGAUUAUUUAUUGCGAUUCCAGUAAUAUCACAUGUGGUACCAAGUUUGAAUUUGACAUGAUAAUUCCGAUUGAAUUAUUUAAGUCAUCAUUUUUUUAAUAAUAUAUUGAUGAUCUUGUUGGAUGUAAUGAAGAAACAAAAUGAAUAUUGGGUAAGCAUUUGAAGUCUCCAUCACCAAAGUUACCAUCCCUUCCAACACCUCUACCUCUGUGCCUCUUGCCAUCGUCAUGUACAUCUUGUAAACUAUCAUUGGCCUUAUGGACAAGGCUAAUGCGGUGGACAUUGAUGAUCCUCAGGAAACUCCAUAGCCUGAUCAAGACAAACAAGAAGCUCGUGGCCAACGUUGGGUCUGUCUUCAAUAUUUGAUGAAAUUGUUAAAACUGAAGUAACGAGGCACAUGCAACCUACUGAUUACUUGAGCUUGUUUGGGGAAGAAUUCAAAUGAACUGAAGAUUAUUGGGAUGCUUCUUAUUUGAAUGUCUUGGAUAUAUCUGCAGCGGAAGAAGGCAGUCCUCAUGUCUUAUUUGGAUGUGCUUCACAAGCAAAAGCAGCAUGUGUAUUGAUUGAUUUAUGCUUUGGACCAUUAUCACCAUGGAUAUAUACAAUUACUGCAAAGGUUUCAUCUUUUUCCAUAAUAAGUCUACAUAUUAAGUCAACAACUUGUAUUUUUGUAACUGCAUCGACCCUUUUUCAUGUUGAUCUUGCAAUUGAACUUCCGGAGGACCUCUUGGUGUUAUUCAAUGUACUCCUUUUUGUUUUGGGGCCACAUAUGCCAUUUCUUCAGAUAUUGACCUUUGCAAAUGUUCAUUUCCUAAGGUGGCUGAUCAAGAGUCUUUAGCUGUUUCUUCUAACUUUGUGAUAUGUUCUCAUGGGGCUUCUAGCACAUCCAGUAAUCCGGAUGAAGCAAAGAGAAAGAUUGAUGCAUCUAAAGCUGCCACAAGAAAGAUGUACUCCAAGAUGCUAAUCUGUAGUUUGCUCCUAGAGAUCUGUCAAAAAUUGUUCUGACAAGUGUUUCAAAUUAUUUUACUGGGGACUGGAUCAGAUUGAAUUUCAGUUGUGGUGUUUCAGAGGUGAAUAAGAUUUCAAAUAACAACUUUCAGAAUAUUGGUUUCUUUGCUGAUUACUUGUAUUCACAAGCAGAUUAUCUACAACUUGUAAACUAUCAAGAUUCGGUAUAUAGGGCUUCCCAAUUUGAACAUUUGGCAGCUGAUUUGUGUUCCCAGCAUGACAACCCCAGAAAGCCAUGAAGCUGCAAUAGAAUCCAUACUCUUGGCUGCAGAAUGUUAUGCCAACUCAUUCUUUAUAAUCGAUUUCAUAUGGAUGCAAUUCAGAGCUUAUGAAUCAGAUGAAAAUCAUUGGAUCCAAAUUCAUGAAUAAAAAUGGAUUAGUGGUGUUUUAUGAAGACCUUAAGAGAUGUAAUGUCAAUCUGGAGACAAUAGCUUAUCUUGAAAGUAAAAGAGAUAUAACUGUUCUACAAAUUCUGCUUCCGCUAAACUGGACCUCGAAUCUGAGAGAAUUUUGGCUCUUUGGAAACCUUGUACAUAUUAUUUUGAAGAUAAUCAGUAGGCUUUAGAAAUAUCACAAGUCGACAUUGAAUCUGAUGUGGCAACUUUGAUUAGGCAGAAUCAACCAUUGCUUUGCCACUUUGUAAUCCUCCUACAGAGUCUCCCCUCUUUCUACUGCAUUCUGCAACUGAGUUAUCCUGUUCUGCAGAGAAUGUUAAUGACAUUAUACUGCAGUCAGCUGCAAAUCUUAGUGGACAACUUACAAUUUUGUACACCCAACUGAAAGCAGGCAACAUACAACUUGAAAUGGUAAAGUUACAUGGGCUGCCAAGGUGCUGGGCACUUCUUGAAAGAUUAAUCUGGAAAUGAUGAACGGACAUAUCCCAUUGGUAUCAAAAGUGCUGGUUUCAUCUACAGAACUUUAGUUCCACAUUUAUCAUGGAUGCAGAAAAUAUCUAGAUUUUCAAGUUGCACAUGUUCAUUUUCUAGAUUUUUAGGAUGGAUGUCAGUAUCUUGAAAUACAAAGCAAUACUUGAAGGAACACUUGUUUAUUGCCUCUGGUCUUUCACAAAUUUCAUCGUUUUUUCAGUUUUUGAGGAUGAGUUAGCACUUACCGAUAAUUUAGUAAUAGAAUUUUUAAUCUGCAUAUUCAUAUCCAUCAGGUACCAAAACACACUCCCACAGAAUUUGAGUCUUCUGAUCAGUCAGAUGUUAAACUAUCAUUUCAGUAUCAAAAGGCACGUGAAGGCUCUUCUCAUAAACGUAACGCUCAGAAGGAACUUCUCGAAGUAAUAUCACAUCGGUUGCAUGUAGACAAUAGUAUAGAAUUCAUCGGGAAGUUGUUGUUCGGUUC